GACUCUAUUUGGCGCCUGUGCUUCCCUGCC
This 30-nucleotide non-coding RNA is filed under the name Mus musculus (house mouse). The record is from RNAcentral. Lineage: Eukaryota; Metazoa; Chordata; Mammalia; Rodentia; Muridae.